GCAAUUAGGGUUCCUAAUCCUAUUGUCAAGAACAAAACACAUAACUCAAGUUGUUGCAGCUGGGCUCAAUCUUCCUUUUGAAGAAGGCCCCCAGUGUAACGUUAGCCACUCAGGUAGUGGAAGAUCUCUAUGAGCGCUAUUUUGGUCCUUCAUUUGAACUUCUUUCACAUGAUAAGGUAACGAGCUAUUAGAAUGCUUUUAGUUUGUUCAAGGUGAGUAACUGUUACAAUUGUUUUUUUCAGUUUCUUUGAUUUGUUUGUAUUGGUUUUGCAGGUGUGUACCAUUGUAUAAUUUGGACUAUGUUUACAGUGAUCUGAUGUAUUCAAAUUUCAACUUUGUUGACCGGUAUGUCAAGAAGUAUUAGACUAGUCCCUUUUGAGUUAUUACUGAGUUGAAAGUUCUUUCUUUGCAUUCUACCAUCACUUAAUGUAUUUUACUAAUGUGAGUUUUGUUUUUCUUAUUAGCUUUAAGGAUCUUGGCCCUAAUGGCAAUGAUCAAGUGUAAGAUGGGAUGAGGCUAACAUUGUAAAACAAACCCGUGAGGUAGAAAAUUACUGAGCCAAAGACUCUGUAUCACCCUAUGAUUGAUGAUGAAGGCAUGGAAAGAACACUGUUAAAUCAAGAAUUGUACAAGGAUAGCAAGCUGCUAGUUGCUGUUAUCCAAUUUUAGAACUUUGGUAAAUUAAGAAUUGUAUGUAUUUGGACAUCAUUUAUCACCA
Molecule: non-coding RNA, 718 nt
Organism: Arachis ipaensis
Lineage: Eukaryota; Viridiplantae; Streptophyta; Magnoliopsida; Fabales; Fabaceae
Source: RefSeq, a predicted model, not a curated record